Molecule: ribosomal RNA, 253 nt
Filed under: uncultured bacterium
Lineage: Bacteria
Description: partial 16S ribosomal RNA
Rfam family: Bacterial small subunit ribosomal RNA
Source: RNAcentral
UACGUAGGGGGCAAGCGUUAUCCGGAUUUACUGGGUGUAAAGGGGGCGCAGACGGCAAUGCAAGCCAGGAGUGAAAGCCCGGGGCCCAACCCCGGGACUGCUCUUGGAACUGCAUGGCUGGAGUACAGGAGGGGCAGGCGGAAUUCCUAGUGUAGCGGUGAAAUGCGUAGAUAUUAGGAGGAACACCGGUGGCGAAGGCGGCCUGCUGGACUGUGACUGACGUUGAGGCCCGAAGGCGUGGGGAGCAGACAGG